UAAGAGACGAUGAAGAAAAGAAGUAAUUAAAUGAAUUUUAAAGAGAGCUGAUGGGUGGUGUAAAUCAGUAAAGGAUUUUAAUGAAAUACAUUUUAGAGUCUUAGGUCGAAGUAGUAGUAGGCUGUUACGGUUUCCUAACGUUAUUAAGGAAGAGAAUAAUUUAAAUGCUUUUAAAGAUUUUAAAUUAUAAAUUUGGGUGGUACCACGGAAAUUUUCGUCCCUAGU
RNAcentral lists this non-coding RNA (225 nucleotides) under Clostridium sulfidigenes. RNAcentral describes it as "T-box sequence". It matches the Rfam family "T-box leader". Rfam says of the family: Uncharged tRNA acts as the effector for transcription antitermination of genes in the T-box leader family. T-boxes are found upstream of many aminoacyl-tRNA synthetase genes and some amino acid biosynthetic genes usually in Gram-positive bacteria. Lineage: Bacteria; Bacillati; Bacillota; Clostridia; Eubacteriales; Clostridiaceae. The record is from RNAcentral.